AAGGGCACCACAAGAACGCGUGGAGCAUGUGGCUUAAUUUGACUCAACGCGGGAAAUCUUACCGGGUCCGGACACACUGAGGAUUGACAGGCGUUUGUGGUUUGGUUAGUAUUUCGACUUCGGUUGUUUGCUGCCUUUCCACUAUAAAUAUGCUAGUCCUUUCAUGAUUGUGUGAUAGGUGGUGCAUGGCCGUUCUUAGUUCGUGGAGUGAUCUGUCUGCUUAAUUGCGUUUCACAAAGAACUCUUUAACUUUUACCUGUUGCGCGGCAUUGUGUCCUCGUGGCGCGGUGUCUGUGCACGGUAAAGAAAAAGUUCUGAAGGCAACGAACGUGACCGCAACCUCUUGUUGCCUCCUUUUUUUAUAAACAUGAGAUAGUAUCUUUUGUUCUGCCCUUCGCGGGGCGGUCUUAGUGCUGUCUCUGCAUGGAGUGCUAACUAGAGGGACCGCUGACAACUUUUAAAACAGAGGAAGGUUGCGGCAAUAACAGGUCUGUGAUGCCCUUAGAUGUUCCGGGCUGCACACGUGCUACAAUGAUUAUUGCAGUGAGCAUCUAACUAAAAAAAGCUUGAGUUUGUGUUUGGUGGUCUCUGAUUACCUUACAUAACUCGGCUACUGACCUGCUUCGAAAGUAAGCAGGUAAUCAAUUCGAAGUAAUGAUUUCCUUUCGCACAUACUUAUAUCUCUUGCUUGCAGGCUAGCCAUGUCCUUGUGGCGUGGUUUUGUUUCUGCCUUGAGAUAUGUGCUCCAUUAAUUCAUGGUGGGGACAGACCAUUGUUAAUUGUUGGUCUCGGUCUCAACUAGGAAUGCCUUGUACGGGUCUUUGGUUCAACAAACCACCCGGAAUAUGUCCCUGCCCUUUGUACACACCGCCCGUC
Molecule: ribosomal RNA, 876 nt
Filed under: Psammophaga sp.
Lineage: Eukaryota; Foraminifera
Description: SSU rRNA
Rfam family: Eukaryotic small subunit ribosomal RNA
Source: RNAcentral